AAUUUCAUAGUUUAUAAAAAUUUUUAAUUUGCAGUUAAAAGAAAAACAAAAAUCCAAGUUUUGAAGUUA
Molecule: transfer RNA, 69 nt
Filed under: Diversibipalium multilineatum
Lineage: Eukaryota; Metazoa; Platyhelminthes; Tricladida; Geoplanidae
Description: tRNA-Ala
Source: RNAcentral